CACGUAGGGGGCAAGCGUUGUCCGGAUUCAUUGGGCGUAAAGAGCUCGUAGGCGGCUGUUCAAGUCGAACGUGAAAACUCGGAGCUCAACUCCGAGCCUGCGUUCGAGACUGGAUGGCUAGAGUCUGGUAGGGGGAUCUGGAAUUCCUGGUGUAGCGGUGGAAUGCGCAGAUAUCAGGAGGAACACCGGUGGCGAAGGCGGGAUCCUGGGCCAGUACUGACGCUGAGGAGCGAAAGCUAGGGGAGCAAACGGG
RNAcentral lists this ribosomal RNA (253 nucleotides) under uncultured bacterium. RNAcentral describes it as "partial 16S ribosomal RNA". It matches the Rfam family "Bacterial small subunit ribosomal RNA", at positions 524 to 776 of the family's 1533-position model. The record is from RNAcentral.